UCUGGUUAUAAUAGCAGAGAGGAUACACCUGUUCCCAUUCCGAACACAGAAGUUAAGCUCUCUAGCGCUGAUGGUACUUGGUGGGAAACUGCCUGGGAGAGUA
RNAcentral lists this ribosomal RNA (103 nucleotides) under Clostridioides difficile. Lineage: Bacteria; Bacillati; Bacillota; Clostridia; Peptostreptococcales; Peptostreptococcaceae. The record is from RNAcentral.